This 403-nucleotide ribosomal RNA is filed under the name bacterium. RNAcentral describes it as "partial 16S ribosomal RNA". It matches the Rfam family "Bacterial small subunit ribosomal RNA", at positions 355 to 776 of the family's 1533-position model. The record is from RNAcentral.
UGGGGAAUAUUGCACAAUGGGGGAAACCCUGAUGCAGCGACGCCGCGUGAACGAAGAAGGUAUUCGUAUCGUAAAGUUCUGUCCUAUGGGAAGAUAAUGACAGUACCAUAGAAGAAAGCUCCGGCUAAAUACGUGCCAGCAGCCGCGGUAAUACGUAUGGAGCGAGCGUUGUCCGGAAUUAUUGGGCGUAAAGGGUACGCAGGCGGUUUAAUAAGUCGAAUGUUAAAGAUCGGGGCUCAACCCCGCAAAGCAUUGGAAACUGAUAAACUUGAGUAGUGGAGAGGAAAGUGGAAUUCCUAGUGUAGUGGUGAAAUACGUAGAUAUUAGGAGGAAUACCAGUAGCUAAGGCGACGUUCUGGACACAAACUGACGCUGAGGUACGAAAGCGUGGGGAGCAAACAGG